CUGAUGAACCAGGCAACGGCAUAAUCCAGCUUGGAGAAGGAAAGCGGACCCCCCUGAUGGAGGAGAGCGUUAGGGUUAGAACCAAACGGAUGGAUUCAGGCCCAUCCUUGACGUUACCCAUAUUGCAUCAAUAGCUGGCCAAGGCAGGACCGAGACCUACCUGGAUGCCUUGCAGCUGGAUGUAGUCUGCGAUGAACCAGGCCAGACAGUGGCACAGGAAGAAGACCAUAACAUCCCAGUGGAAGAGGUGAUGCGCCGCCCAGCCGAUGAUGAGGCUCGCCACGAAGCACUCUGCGAUGGGCUCGCAGAUGGUGCCGGGGAGCAUGUUAAUCCGGAGCUUGGCCCACCUGAGAGAGCGAAAUGGGGAGAGUUGACACAACCCUGGGAAUGCCCAUGACCUCGAAGUCUGACCCAAUAUCUGGUUACCUCAAACUGCCACAGUUAUAUCAAAAACUCCUGAAUGAGUAAAAACCAACAGAUCAAGAUACUGUUAAACCAAAAAAAGAAUAAAAAAAAAAAAAAUACACUGGAAUUUUAAGGUAUUUUUGGAAUGUCAAUGAAAUGUUUACAAAGUUAUGCGAGAACGUGAAUUAACACUGGAUAUAGCUCAAAAUUCAUAUUUUUACUUUAAACAAUACAUUUUUAUUCCAGCA
Molecule: non-coding RNA, 653 nt
Organism: Paramormyrops kingsleyae
Lineage: Eukaryota; Metazoa; Chordata; Actinopteri; Osteoglossiformes; Mormyridae
Source: RefSeq, a predicted model, not a curated record